Aplysia californica (California sea hare) is the source of this 692-nucleotide long non-coding RNA. RefSeq lists it as uncharacterized. The record is from RefSeq and is a predicted model, not a curated record. Lineage: Eukaryota; Metazoa; Mollusca; Gastropoda; Aplysiida; Aplysiidae. The transcript is spliced from 2 exons.
ACGUAUCACCCAGUCCUAGACCUAUGUAUUAAUUUAAUGGACUGACCAUCAUCAAUGAUUUAUUUAUAGAGGCACCAGCCAUCCAUGUCCAGGUGCUGUUUUAGCCAAUUUAAUGGACUGUUCGGUUUGAAAAUGCUGUCCAUCACUCUUUGAUCUGCGUGAGGGGCAGUUUCGCCAAAUAUCCAGUUGUCUAGACUUAUCUAAUAUGUGUAGGUCUUAACAAAAUUUUCCCUUUGUCAAACUUACAUGUUGGUGUGUUUCACCGUUCGAAGUGUGCGUUUAGAGGAAGUGACCAUGCGUUUUUGCAACUAAGUUAUAUAACAAAAAAACCCUGCCAUAUGACGAACGCGUGCGUUUUGAGUGUGAACGGAGUGUACGUUUAGGCGGAGACUACUGUAUCGAUUCUAUUGUUUAAUUGGAAAGAUACUUUUAAUAUUCAUUUGGUCAGUUCAAAGAACAUUAUGUGCACAGAACAAAGAGAGUAUACGUACUCACUACUUUUCUUGGAGCUGUAUUUUGUGUUCUGUGACAGAAGAUCAAGAGGUGCCUAUUUUAAUUUUUUGUGUAUCUUGUGUUGUUUUGGUACUUCGUACCUUCUGGCGUUGUUAGAUACUUAUAACGCACUGCACAUCGUCAAAUUUACACUGUUGUUCAGAGUCAGAAUAAAAUGAAUGCGUUCAUUUGUGAAACCU